Long non-coding RNA from Tachyglossus aculeatus (Australian echidna), 286 nucleotides. RefSeq lists it as uncharacterized. NCBI's taxonomy places the organism in Eukaryota, Metazoa, Chordata, Mammalia, Monotremata, Tachyglossidae. The transcript is spliced from 2 exons. The record is from RefSeq and is a predicted model, not a curated record.
AUCGGUCAGUCUCUUUCAUGUUGGAAAACAAGCAUCUGCACUGCUUGGGCGAAUGCCAGGUUUUCAUUUCCAGCUCCUAAAUUUCUCCUACUAUUUGAUGGCCCGCUUGAGAAGAAAGGAAGGCACUAAUCAGGAAUGUCACCAAACAGAACGCUGGCUAUGAAGACACGCUGACAGAAACCCGGCAACAUUUCAUUAAUGUGUCGAUGUUAAAGAUAUUGUAAAAUGGGAGAGACUCCAUUUCUCCACCUCCAAGUAUUUAAAAUUAAAGAACGAUUGGAAUCCA